CCUACGGGCGGCAGCAGUGGGGAAUAUUGCACAAUGGGCGCAAGCCUGAUGCAGCCAUGCCGCGUGUGUGAAGAAGGCCUUCGGGUUGUAAAGCACUUUCAGCGGGGAGGAAGGCGGUGAGGUUAAUAACCUCAUCGAUUGACGUUACCCGCAGAAGAAGCACCGGCUAACUCCGUGCCAGCAGCCGCGGUAAUACGGAGGGUGCAAGCGUUAAUCGGAAUUACUGGGCGUAAAGCGCACGCAGGCGGUCUGUCAAGUCGGAUGUGAAAUCCCCGGGCUCAACCUGGGAACUGCAUUCGAAGCUGGCAGGCUAGAGUCUUGUAGAGGGGGGUAGAAUUCCAGGUGUAGCGGUGAAAUGCGUAGAGAUCUGGAGGAAUACCGGUGGCGAAGGCGGCCCCCUGGACAAAGACUGACGCUCAGGUGCGAAAGCGUGGGGAGCAAACAGGAUUAGAUACCCUAGUAGUC
RNAcentral lists this ribosomal RNA (465 nucleotides) under uncultured Klebsiella sp. RNAcentral's name for it is "bacterial SSU rRNA". It matches the Rfam family "Bacterial small subunit ribosomal RNA", at positions 338 to 795 of the family's 1533-position model. The record is from RNAcentral. Lineage: Bacteria; Pseudomonadati; Pseudomonadota; Gammaproteobacteria; Enterobacterales; Enterobacteriaceae.